UACGUAGGGGGCAAGCGUUGUCCGGAAUUAUUGGGCGUAAAGAGCGCGUAGGCGGUCCGGUAAGUCGGGGGUGAAAGCCUGUGGCUCAACCACAGAAUUGCCUUCUAUACUGCAUGGCUUGAGACCGGAAGAGGUUAGUGGAGCUGCGAGUGUAGAGGUGAAAUUCGUAGAUAUUCGCAAGAACACCAGUGGCGAAGGCGGCUGACUGGUCCGGUUCUGACGCUGAGGCGCGAAAGCGUGGGGAGCAAACAGG
Molecule: ribosomal RNA, 253 nt
Filed under: uncultured bacterium
Lineage: Bacteria
Description: partial 16S ribosomal RNA
Rfam family: Bacterial small subunit ribosomal RNA
Source: RNAcentral